This 67-nucleotide transfer RNA is filed under the name Marmota monax (woodchuck). RNAcentral's name for it is "tRNA.Ala". The record is from RNAcentral. Lineage: Eukaryota; Metazoa; Chordata; Mammalia; Rodentia; Sciuridae.
GGAUUGUGGCUCAGUGGUAGAGCACUCGCCUAGCAUAGGUGGGACCCGAGUUCGAUUCUCAGCACCA